Molecule: long non-coding RNA, 526 nt
Organism: Nycticebus coucang (slow loris)
Lineage: Eukaryota; Metazoa; Chordata; Mammalia; Primates; Lorisidae
Exons: 3
Source: RefSeq, a predicted model, not a curated record
CGGAGGGGCUGCGGCCCCGGACCCAGGCGUCCGGGUGCAGGAACUGGCCCGAGUAGUCGGAGCAGUUGCUCAGCCGGGGACGGUAGAAGCCAGGGUGGGGCCUGUACAUGUCCUCGGCGGUGUACCUCUUCAUAAACAGGAACAGAGCCCCCGCCUUGGAGUGACCGUACAUUCAUUUUGGAAUUCAAAGGAGAACAGGAGUUUCCUCCUGAGGACCCUGCUUAGCCCAGCAACUUCUCAAUAGCAGAUGGUUGCAGGUCCCGAGAUCACACCUGGGCUUAUGCUGAUGCGGUGACUCAGAGGCCAACCAUGUGAUCAGAGGAUGGGAGUCUUGAGCCAGGUGCGAUGAGCCUAACCUCUGGGGGAGGGAAGGGACUGGAGAUUGAGUUCAGUCAGUCAUGCCUGCAUAAUACACCCAAUAAAUCUCUGGACACCCAAGCUCGGUGGAUCUUCCUGACUGAUGAACACACAAAUGCUUUAGGAUGUGGCAUGUCCUGCCUUGAUGAGGAAAGGAAAUAAAGCUCUA